UACGAUGAAGAGUUUGAUCCUGGCUCAGGAUGAACGCUAGCGGCAGGCUUAACACAUGCAAGUCGAGGGGUAUAGUUCUUCGGAACUAGAGACCGGCGCACGGGUGCGUAACGCGUAUGCAAUCUACCUUUCACAAAGGGAUAGCCCAGAGAAAUUUGGAUUAAUACCUUAUAGUAUAUAUGAAUGGCAUCAUUUAUAUAUUAAAGAUUUAUCGGUGAAAGAUGAGCAUGCGUCCCAUUAGCUAGUUGGUAAGGUAACGGCUUACCAAGGCAACGAUGGGUAGGGGUCCUGAGAGGGAGAUCCCCCACACUGGUACUGAGACACGGACCAGACUCCUACGGGAGGCAGCAGUGAGGAAUAUUGGACAAUGGGCGCAAGCCUGAUCCAGCCAUGCCGCGUGCAGGAUGACGGUCCUAUGGAUUGUAAACUGCUUUUAUACAGGAAGAAACACUUGCUCGUGAGCAAACUUGACGGUACUGUAAGAAUAAGGAUCGGCUAACUCCGUGCCAGCAGCCGCGGUAAUACGGAGGAUCCAAGCGUUAU
The sequence is a ribosomal RNA, 543 nucleotides long. It matches the Rfam family "Bacterial small subunit ribosomal RNA", at positions 1 to 544 of the family's 1533-position model.